This 393-nucleotide ribosomal RNA is filed under the name uncultured bacterium. RNAcentral describes it as "partial 16S ribosomal RNA". It matches the Rfam family "Bacterial small subunit ribosomal RNA", at positions 523 to 918 of the family's 1533-position model. The record is from RNAcentral.
AUACGGAGGAUGCAAGCGUUAUCCGGAUUUAUUGGGUUUAAAGGGUGCGUAGGCGGUUUGCUAAGCGGGAGGUGAAAUGCCGGCGCUCAACGUCGGAAGUGCCUCCCGAACUGGUGGACUGGAAUGACUCUGCCGUGGGAGGAAUGUGUAGUGUAGCGGUGAAAUGCUUAGAGAUUACACAGAACACCGAUUGCGAAGGCAUCUCACGAAGGGUUGAUUGACGCUGAGGCACGAAAGCGUGGGGAUCAAACAGGAUUAGAUACCCUGGUAGGCCACGCAGUAAACGAUGAUGGCUAACCGCUGGUUUAUUCGGAUCAGUGGCCAAGCGAAAGCGAUAAGCCAUCCACCUGGGGAGUACGACCGCAAGGUUGAAACUCAAAGGAAUUGACGGGG